Molecule: ribosomal RNA, 330 nt
Filed under: uncultured eukaryote
Lineage: Eukaryota
Description: partial 18S ribosomal RNA
Rfam family: Eukaryotic small subunit ribosomal RNA
Source: RNAcentral
CCCUUAGAUGUUCUGGGCCGCACGCGCGCUACACUGAUGCAUUCAACGAGUCUAAAACCUGGUCUGAUAGGGCUGGGUAAUCUUUUGAAAGUGCAUCGUGAUUGGGAUAGAUGAUUGCAAUUCUUCAUCUUCAACGAGGAAUGCCUAGUAAACGCAAGUCAUCAGCUUGCAUUGAUUACGUCCCUGCCCUUUGUACACACCGCCCGUCGCUCCUACCGAUUGAAUGAUCCGAUGAAUACCAUGGAUUGAGAGUACGAAUGGGUUCGCUCAUUUCCGCUGCUCGAGAAGUGGAGUAAAUCUUAUCAUUUAGAGGAAGGAGAAGUCGUAACA